Molecule: transfer RNA, 73 nt
Filed under: Cephalopterus ornatus (amazonian umbrellabird)
Lineage: Eukaryota; Metazoa; Chordata; Aves; Passeriformes; Cotingidae
Also listed under: 1 other name
Rfam family: tRNA
About the family: Transfer RNA (tRNA) molecules are approximately 80 nucleotides in length. Their secondary structure includes four short double-helical elements and three loops (D, anti-codon, and T loops).
Source: Rfam by way of RNAcentral
AGAAACUUAGGAUUACUUUAUAAACCGAAGGCCUUCAAAGCCUUAAACAAGAGUUAAACCCUCUUAGUUUCUG